Long non-coding RNA from Symphalangus syndactylus (siamang), 502 nucleotides. RefSeq lists it as uncharacterized. The record is from RefSeq and is a predicted model, not a curated record. NCBI's taxonomy places the organism in Eukaryota, Metazoa, Chordata, Mammalia, Primates, Hylobatidae.
UUCAGACUAAAAGAGAAAAUUAAAUGAGUAGAGGGAAAGAGAGAAAAUUCUAUACCUCUUUUCUGGUAACCGUCAGGCUGCCAACAGUACCACCACCAAUCUCAGACCUGCUGCCAGGAGAAAUGCUACCCACAGGCUCCGGGGGACAUGGUGGGGCUGCCUGGACUCUGCUCUGACAAAUGCUACCCUGGCAGAAACAGCAGGACCAAGGCCAACUUUCACUAUCAAUGCAAAAGCAGAAAUUCUGAACCCCAGUCUUAACUCCGUAGACUGCAAGCCAUCAUCCCACAGCAUGAACAGCUUGAAACAUGAAUCUGCCUGAUGACGCUGAGAGAAAACAAAAGCAAUUACACUUUGGGUAACUCUACCUGAUUCAGCUCCAGCCACUGCUGUCUCUCCAGGCUCUCUUUAUAUAAUCUGUGUCUCUGUUAGUCUGCUGUGCCCUGCAUUUCACUGUCAUCUGUAUAAUUAACACAACCCCCCUCUGCUUUCUAAUAAAGAG